This 164-nucleotide ribosomal RNA is filed under the name Combretum tenuipes. Its description in RNAcentral is "5.8S ribosomal RNA". It matches the Rfam family "5.8S ribosomal RNA". Rfam says of the family: 5.8S ribosomal RNA (5.8S rRNA) is a component of the large subunit of the eukaryotic ribosome. It is transcribed by RNA polymerase I as part of the 45S precursor that also contains 18S and 28S rRNA. Functionally, it is thought that 5.8S rRNA may be involved in ribosome translocation. Lineage: Eukaryota; Viridiplantae; Streptophyta; Magnoliopsida; Myrtales; Combretaceae. The record is from RNAcentral.
UAAACGACUCUCGGCAACGGAUAUCUCGGCUCUCGCAUCGAUGAAGAACGUAGCGAAAUGCGAUACUUGGUGUGAAUUGCAGAAUCCCGUGAACCAUCGAGUCUUUGAACGCAAGUUGCGCCCGAAGCCUUGGCUGAGGGCACGCCUGCCUGGGUGUCACACAU